AGCACCAGAAGAUCUGUCUUAAGGCUUUAAAGAUGAUUUCAUAGAGGAGUGUCUAAGGGACGGAACAUGAACUCACGCAAUGUUCCCACUUAGUCAGAGCAGGGCAGGCAGAGGGGAUUCAUCAAAAUGCCUGCCUCCUUUGGCUAGGACCCCAUCGCACACCUCCCUGAGUCAUUCUUAUGUCGCCCCAGAGGCUCACCGACGAUGUGGGCGCAAAAUAAAAAGGGUUUCCAAAUUGCUCCUUGGAACAGGCAAGUGGAAGACAAUGUGGUACACAGAAAGAACCCGGGCUUGGGAGGAAACGCAGAAUCCCAUCUGUGUCUUUCUGGCUCAGGGACUGUGGGUGAGGUCCCACAUGUCAGUUACCUACUUUGCAGGGCUGUAAAGAUGAGCAGGAGCUGGCUGCAAGAUGCCUGGGAUGCUCACCAUUGGUGCUCAUGCUAAUUUUUAUCCUAAAAUCAAGAAAGGAACAAAUAAGUUCCCUAACUGAUCUUCAUCAGCUACAGAUGAAGAUAUUAACUUCAGUGUUGCACGGCCCCUUUACUGUGUAAUCCAGGAUCUUCCCCCCAAUCUCAUAAAACCUCCCCAUUUUACAGAUGAGGCAACUCCAGACACAGACCUGCUAAAACCCCAAGCCCAUACUCUGUCUGGAGAGACCCCGUCCCUGCAAAAAGCCAUGUAACAAAAUGAAAAUUCGAGGCUGGGAGGAGUGGCUCCCGCCUGUAAUCUCAGCAAUUUGGGAGGCUAAGGCGGAUGGAUCACUUGAGGCCAAGAGUUUGAGACCAGCCUGGCCAACAUGGUGAAACCCUGUCUCUACUAGAAAUACAAAAAUUUAGCUGUGUGUGGUGGUGGAUGCCUGUAAUUUUAGCUACGCAGGAGACUGAGGCAGGAGAAUCAUUUGAACCUGGGAGGUGGAGGUUGCAGUGAGCUGAGAUUGAGCCACUGCACUCCAGCCUGGGUGAGAGACUCUGCCUCAAAAAGAAGAAAGAGAAGGAAAGAAAGAAAGAAAGGAGGGAGGGAAGGAAGGAAGGAGAGGGAGAGAGAGAGAGGAAAGAAGGAAGGAAGGAAGGAAAAGGAGGGAGGGAGGGAGGAAAGAUGAGGGAAGGAAGACAGCAAGGAAGGAAGGAAGACAGAAAGAAAGAGAGA
Molecule: long non-coding RNA, 1146 nt
Filed under: Homo sapiens (human)
Lineage: Eukaryota; Metazoa; Chordata; Mammalia; Primates; Hominidae
Description: HSALNT0234859
Source: RNAcentral